Rattus norvegicus (Norway rat) is the source of this 9954-nucleotide non-coding RNA. The record is from RefSeq and is a predicted model, not a curated record. NCBI's taxonomy places the organism in Eukaryota, Metazoa, Chordata, Mammalia, Rodentia, Muridae.
CUGGCCCUGGUAGGGAGGAGGAGGACCCGGGAGGGAGGGGGGACCCCAAGGGGGUUUCCUCAGCUCCGCGUAGAGGGAAGGGGAAAUCAUAGUGAAACUUGAAACUCAUUAACUUUGAAAAAUAACUUUGAAAAAAAGAGAGAGAGAAAGGGGGCUGGGGUGUUGACUUGGAGGGUCAGAGGGGACAUGUUAUUAAGCCCUGAACUGAAACCACUCUUUUGGUGGCGGAUGUUCUAUUAAAAGACCGAGGAAAGCCAAGGUUAUUCCGGAGAGAGCCGGUGCUUCCCAGAGCCUAAGCAACAGCGAGCGCUGUUAACCCCUCCUUGACUGCCUGUCAGCUGGGGACUAACCCGCGAGGGAACUUUGGAAGCCGAGGAGGGGGUGCGGGGCGGAGCCACCCAGCAGGCUUCUGGAACUCUGGGGGAGUGAAAUGGAAAGACAGACUAAUUUAUUACAAACCAGAGUUUGACCCCGGCUGCUAGAAAGCGUUAGAGAACGGGAACUGGAAACUUCUGGAAAUAUCAGGGGAGCUGGAUCUGGGGAGCGAAGCAGGUUUUCAAGGGUAGAUAGACAUGAAGAAUACUAGCAGUUUGAACUUCAAAAUUCCACGCAUCCACAAAAGAGUCUGCAGAAGGGACGGAUUUAACGGGUCACCUCAAAGUUGGAAAGGAUAAGGUGUAAAAAAAAAAUGACGCAAAACAAAAAUAUUCUUUGUUAAAUGAUCAUACGCCCACUAACAGCUGACCAUCGUGCAAACUUGUUUUGCUCCCUUAGGCUUUCAGAAAGAUGGUCGUUCCUACUAACGAUUGACCCUUAAAAUCCCCCGAGGAAGUCCUACCUCUAGCUUGCUGGAGCUAAGAAAAGCUCAAAGCCCCGGAAUGGAAAUUAUUAAAAAUGGAAUACUCAGUAAUGGCGAGCUUAGAGCCAAAAAUAAUGUUUUGCAAAGGAAAAAAUAUGCCUACCAAAAAGUAAAUUUGGUCACAGGAACAAAGAUCAUGCAGCUAGAAAGGCUGGAUGGUGGGUAAUACUAUGUUAGCCUUACAAUGAAAUAGUGACGGUUUAAUUUUCCAGUAGGAUAUCAUCUAUUUUAUUAAAUCCCAAUUGGUAGGAGUCACGAAAAAUAUAAUGUAGUGCCCCUCCCCCAGUUGAGCUGUUUGAAUCACAAGCUAAACAUGCAGCCAUAGCUAAUGUGUUAGGAUAAAAACACAGUCUUCAUAAGUCGAGGUUUUGUUACUUGAAACGGAAGGGGGAAAAAGCUAAGUGCCACAGUGGAUUUUUUGACUCAAUAGUUGCUGAAGACAACAGAAAUGAGUCCGUGAACCCAGUGUGUCUUCGCGAUACAGCAAUGCUAUGAGCGUUUGGGCAAACUGCAUAUCUGGUUUUGAUUUGUCAUCUCACUGUUUUCUUGAGCAACAAACCAGUAUUAAAACUUCUCUCUGAGACAGAUAAUAUAGAACACUUUCUGGUAAGUUUUCUGAAUUUUCUAAAUGUGGUUUCUUUCUUUUUUUCUUUCUUUCUUUUUUUUUUUCUAUACCAAAAUGCAGGGAAAAGCAGCUAUGUUAUAUGUAAGUAGUUGGUUUCGGUUUGUUUUAUGACACAGUAGAAAGUGGAUCCUCAGAAUAUAACAAAUAAAAGGAAUUGAAUGUGUAAACCCAACCAGCCCGGUGACUGGUAAACUUCAGCUUGAACUGUCAAAUAUCCUUGAACAAUGGGGAUCCCAAUGACGGCUCUAGACUAGGAAGACAGAGAGAUUCCAAGGGGCCUCUUUUUCUCCAUCCAGCAGGCCAAAUAAACGUCUUUGUUGCACCCCUUGGGAGAUAUGGGGUCCUUUGGGUACUCUGACCUUAUUUCUCCCGCUGAGCAUCUGAGGGAGAGCACCGGUCUAACCCGAGGCCGUGCCCGCGCGUCCCCCAACCUCGGUUCCCACGCAGCCGCCCUGCGCUGCCUCGCUCGGGCUCCCCCUUGGCACGGCCCCGUGGCUCCACAGCUCCGGCCCUCUGCCUGGUGCGACCAGCAGCGCCACCGCCACGCGGAGAUCCCGGAGGUUCCUCCGGCUAGCCCCAGGUCACACCGCCUGUCCCUCCCCUCCGCCCUGCGAGCUGGGCUUUCCCGUCCACCAACGAGUCCCCUCCCCCCGCCCCCCACUCCCGCGACCCGGCAACAAACCCUUCCCCGCACGCUCCGCAGUAACUGUCCCCUAAACCCGGGCUCUUCCCAAGCCAAGCAGACAAAAGAACGGAGGGAGGAAAACUUACCGAACUACAAGGCAAAAAGUCUGCUCCCAAGCUUCCUGGGUUCAACUUUUCAUUUUAAAAACAACAAAAGCAGAAACCAAAAGCCUCCUAGGUUGGAAGUGGGCGUGAGAGGAAACGCUGGGGGAGGCGCUUGGUUCCCUCGCUGCGCUCCCCCCCCCCUUUCUGGCCCCUACCCGGAGCUUUGAUGUUAUCUAGUGCACCGCCUACGUGGGUUAUACCUUGAGCUCAGUGCCUGGUGACAGUCAAGAUAUUCUCCUCUGUGGGUGCUGCUAGGAGGCAGCGCAGCAGGUGGCCAAAGGACGGGAUCCCCCAGCUCUAACCGGUCAUGGGAAAGGACCUUUGCGGACUCCCUUUCUCACCUGAGCUGAAAAAGGCUUUCCCCGCUAGGGAUCGUAGUCUCAGAAUUGUGCUACUUUUGCUGUUUGAUUCAGAGAAGGAGGUCUCCCAGAUUACAUUCUUUUUCCUUCCACACAGUACAAACUUGUAAUAAGAUCGUUUGGAUGUUUCCCCGGGCUCUGUUGAAUUUUUAGAACUCAGCUUGGAAGCAGAUAUUUUUUUUCUGAGAUAUUCCUACAGUCUUCAAGAGACAAGAAUACAACUCCCAAGACGACAAACUAUAAUAACACACUACAGAUUCCCCUUUGGGUCAAAAUACCUGCACAUCCUCCCCCUUUGCUUAUGGAAAGCUCAUGGUUUUAUUGUACUUACCCGGACACUAGCUCAACCUGGAUGUAUAUUUCUUAUGUUUUCAGCCUCAGAAUCAUCACUAAGGCAAGAUGUUUUGAAAAUGAGAAACAAACCAGGUUAGUAAUAAAGAAAAGGCAGUGUCUCUCCCAUUCAUUCUUCCUGGCACAUUCCCUUUAUGACAGCACCAGGCUGUGUUCAGGCCCUGCCUCCUGGGAAUUUACAAAUUAAUGGAGACAGCACAAACACACGGAAAAAUACCUGGAGGGAGAAAAGAUAUAAGCCACAGCUUAUAAACAGAGCCAAUUACACCGAGUUAUUUAUAUGACUGCCGAGAGAUCCUUGGGUAGAGGAAGUGUCUAUCCAGAAAAGUUCCAGGAGAGGGUGAGUCCUCAAUAGAGCUUUUAAGGGAAAGUUCAGGAUCUGCCUGGAAGAUAAGCACAGUACUCCAGCCCUGAGAGGCAGCUGCUAGGUGACAAGGAGGGGAACUAUAGGAUACUGUUUCCUUCAGGCAGUAGAAAGUCUAGGUGGGUGAGCAAUGAAUGGCAAGCAAAUUAGGAAGGACACUACUGAAAGUGAGAGGGACGCUCUUGACUCUGGAACCCAGCUGGGAGCUGUGCACCUGGGCUGUCCCCAGAAGCGGGAUGAGUUUUUCUAAUGGUAGCAGCGAGGCAGUCAGAAUGAACCAGCACCAGUCAGAGAAGAACCAAAGCACCCAUCCUUUGGAAGGAUUAAGACACUGUGAGCAGUUGGUAGUCAUCUGGAGACAUCUAGACCGAGAAUAGUCUUUAGGCAAAGUCACUGUGGCUGGUGGAUUUAGGACAGAUAUGGGAGCUGGGUACAAAGACUGCAGCUGUGGUAGUGACAACAGUAAAGGGGGUGGCCAGCAUCGCACUCCUGUCUCUCCUUCAUCCCAUUUCUAAAAUGUUACAUAAUCGCCAGUGAUCCGUGGAGUUAGUACACCGUGCUUUUCACGACUGGAAUCCAGAGCACAUCCGGAUGGUUAAAACAGAAAGGCUGUGUUUUAUGGAAAAUACUCUAAUAACUUUAUCAUUUUCUGCAUCCACGGAGCAGGAAAAUGGAAGACAUGGUUGUUUAGAAAUCUACAGUAAUUCAAGUUUUUAGAAAGUGACUGAUGAUGUCAUAAAAGUGCAGUUGUUGGGGGAUAUUUGAGGCUGACAGGAGGGAAGGGAAAGGUGUUUGGGUUUGAACCUAUCUAAUUUUGAGAAGGAUGGUGGUUCCAGCCCUUGUUUGAUUCAUACCACAACACUGGUCUGUUGGAAAGCGUCUACUUCGAUGGAAACAAUAGAAGAGGAAAGAAAAAAACCUUUAACCUGCAAAUCCAGUGUAAUUUCUGAGCACAUUUAAACCUAUUACAGAAACGUCUAGUAAUCAAAAGCAAAGACUCUUAAAACAAGGCAAGUGGAAUGAGAGUAUUCAAAUUUCAUACACCUCCCUUAAGAGAAAAAAAGUAAUUGGUUCUAGACUUGAAUAAGUUAGGACUCCUGGUUUGUCUCUCAAGACUACUAUAAAGAUAAUCAAUGAGUGUAUCACUCUCGACCUAGUGGAGGGGAAACUGAAGGAGGAAUCUAAGACCCAGGCCAUAAGAAGGGAAAACAACUGUAAAAAGCAGUUCAUACAGCACUCAAUGGGAUGGAGAUUUUAGAACAAAGUAUUAACAGCUUCACGAUAUAGGGGUGGACUGAUAGCCCAAUUAAAAGUCUGAAUAAAGAAGGUCUGAAUAAAGUGGGGCAGCAAGCAGCUUAGAUCAGACAUCUGAAAUAAGGGUUACACACUCAGUUACUGAAAAUGAAAGGAUAAAAAAUAUGCUAUACAACUGUUGGCUCCCCCAGACUGGUGCUCCUAGGUCCUUGUGUCUUGAAUUACUAUUUGAGGAAAAGAUGUAUCCCUUUUACUAGGUAUGAAAUGCUAUGCUUUGGUGAAAAUUGUCAUUAACUAGGAAGAAACUAAAGUUUAAACUCACCAUUUAAUAUUGCCCCAACGUAAGUUAUCAAAGUUAGCAGAACUCUGAAAAACAGGGUAAUCUCCUACCAUACUAAACCAUACUAAUGGAAUUUUGUUUGCUUGUUUUGUUUUUGGUGUAUCUCUUCAUAAUAGAACCAGUAGGCUAAAACUCAGCCCGUUGGUAAAAGCUAAACAUUAACAAGAGAACAGGACAACUCUCUUUAGUGUCCAAAUGCCAAUGAUCUGGUUGGGGACUCUCCUUCAAACACACCAGAAAACCCACAGGACUUGGCUGUGGUCACGAGGUCAGACUUGACAAAUUGGGAUGGACUCUUCUCUGACUCCGUGUAACAAAACCCUCAAAAUAUAAAAGCAAAACAAGAGAGCCUCAGAGGUUUGAAAACUAAUCUACUGGAUUAGUUCAAAAAUAGCACAUUGAUUCUGAUGAUACUACAAAGAAAGCUGGACAGUGAAAAUAAGGUGUUACUCUUGUCUUAGGUAAUGCUAUCAUGACCGAGGCAAUGUGGGGAGGGAAGGGUUUAUUGGACUCACCCUUCCAAAUCCAGAGUCCAUCACUUAAGGAGGUCAGAGCAGGAACUAAAUUAGGACAGGAACAUGGAGACAGGACUUGAUGCAGAAGCCACAGAGGGAUGCUGCUUACUGACUUGCUCUCCACGCCUUGUACUCUAGGGCUUGCUCAGCCCGAUUUCUUAUAGAACCCAGGACCAACAGCCCAGGAAAGGCACCACCUACAGUAGUCUGGGCCCUCCCACUUCAAUCACGAAUUAAGAAAAUGCCUUACAAGCUUGCCUACAGCCUGAUCUUACAGAAACGCUUUCACAACCAAGGUUCUCUCCUGUCAGUUCGUGUCAAGUUGACAUAAAAGUGCACACAUAUCAACUUAUACAGUUAACGUGGCUCAUAGAGCAGUGUGGGUUCAAAUACUUUAAUUAAGUGAGGGAGACUGACAUCCAUGAAUUAAGCUCUAAUCUUGAAAAUAGAAACACCUUUUGAAAUGGAAGUGAAGUGAAAAGGCAGAUAGUGAAUAGAAACUGAACUUAACAUAAAGAACAUCAACGAAGCCAAAAAUAAUUCCUUUAAAAAAUGAAUCGAAGGUGGGAUAGUAUCAGGAAGGCAAGAAUCACACAGGGAAGCACACAGCUCAAUUAGAAAAUAACAAUGAUCGGAGUCACCUUAGGGAAAACAGUCCAGUGCUUUUGAAAGUGUCAGCAAAAAUGUACUAAUUUCUAGAGAAAAAAAAAAAACCUGAGAAGGCAUAGAAAUUUACAUAGUCCUGUAUCUUAAGGAAACUGAAUCCAUAGUCUAAAAUCUGGUCCAUAAAUAAAACCUAAAGGUUAUUUAAACCAAUAACACUGGUCUUAUCAAAACUUUAAAGAAGAGCAGAAAAGGAGACUAUUUCUCACUUAACAAGGCCUGAAGAACUCCAGUACCUUCCACCCUAGAGAAAAUAGCAAAGAGAACAGGAGAACAAAAUUAUAAAUGAAUCUUUUCCACACUGAUAUAUAGUAUAUAGUUGCCUUUAAAAUUACUUCAUGAAAUUAAAGUGUGUAUGGAGUAUAUAUUCCAAAUAUUUAACAAAAUAUUAAAAGCGGUUUGAUUUUUGGAAAAUUCUCGAAGGGAAGAAAAAGGAAAUAUAAGAAAAAAAUCUAGAAAAAAAUGAUAAAUAGCAGAUAUGAAAAGAAAAAACUAUAACAGAAACAAGUGAUUUCUUGUUAUAUCAGAAUUGUAGUGGGAAGGUAGUCAUGGUAUAUGUUUAUAAUUAUAUGUUUAUAAUUCUAGCACUCGGGACUGAGGCAGUAGAUCCUUAGUUGUGGGCCAACUCUUGCUAUAUAGAUGAGAGCCUUUUCCAGUAAAUCAAAUGAACAAAUAAUCAAAAAAAAAUGAGUGUUUUAUAUCCAAUGUUAAAAAGAGAGAAAAAUGACCCCCAAACUACAUUAAACAUGCCUUUGUUUUGCAAUCUGCAAGACAUCUACAAAGAAAGAUAAAAAUAAGGUGAAGGUUAAUUUAAUUUUGGAAAUAGUUUUCUGUAGAAACCAAUGAGAAAGAACCUUUCAGACUCAUCUGGUGGAAGAACCAGACGUGUGGAAAAGCAUGUUUACAGGGAAGGUCAAAAAGCCAGAGGCACAAACCGGAAGCAGAAACUUUACUGCUUGUCCUAGGCUGAGGUGAGCGUGGGGAGGGGUGGCGUGAGAAUAAGAUGGUAAGACUGUUGUGAAACUCGGUUGUGUUUCUGCACAGCUCUGUGGUAAAUCCAAAACUUAUGAGAGUAGUGAAUGCCACACAGGCCUGUAUAAAUCAGAGCUCAGUAUAAAUCAAAGCUCACACUGCUAAUUGGGAACAGAUCAAACAUGGAAGUGAAACCACUUCUCAGUAUGGACUGACCGCACCAUUGUCAAAACCUGUAAGUCAAACCAUGGCAUGAUGGGGACUGUCUGCCGCUCUCCCUAAGUCUAGACUUCUCCUUUUUUUUUUCUUUCUUUUUUUUAAAGACAGGAUUUCUCUGUGUAUUCUCAGAUAUCAGAUAUUUGGAAUGUGCUCUGUAGACCAAGGUGUCUCAGAACUCAGAGAUCCACGUUAGGCUCCUCCUUUUUAAAUGUCCAAAAGCCUUACCUUACUUUAGAAAAAGCUGAACCAAACCAAAUGCAGUGAAUUGACCAGAGUGCUCUGUGAACCAAAACCAGGCCAACAUCUCAUGGGUUUGAAAUGGGGAUGCUUUUCUCAUGUCAGGCCAGGGUGUAUUGAAUCUUGGUAUCAUAUUGCCUUCAGUCUGUGACUCCAGUAGUUUCUGAAUGGAGGGUCCUUGAUCUCCAAGGCAGGAAGGGGAGGGUUUUGCUGAAGUCUGACGGGAGUGUGUAUCUUCACAUCAAACAUUUUAGAAUACUCAGCAGAUAUGGCACAUUGGGACCAUUUAUCCUUCCCUGGAACACUGGGCUUGAUCUCCUGAUUUUCUUUGUCCAGAUAAACAUGGUCAGAAGUGCUGUGUGCCUUUGAGAUGGAGGGCUUCUUUCCACCUCUCUCAUGGGACUAUAUUACAAGGGAGCAAAGGCAGCUGCACUGUGGACCCCAGGACUGACCUGGCAUUUAAACCAAGCACACCUAGUUUAUCUGCAUUUGCUAGAGAGAGAAAAAUGACAGCGGGUUUACCGUGAUAUCCCCCCCAUUGUCACACAUGUCAUAAAAUGCGUGUAUCAAACCCGUGUUGUGCACAGCAAACACGUUAAACUCUCCGUAGCAUGUAACUUAAAAAAAAAUCUUUACACAACUCAAAGAGCAUUUCAUUUAGCUCCAUUUACUCUUAAAUACAUUUCUAAAAGAAAAGAACUUUAAAAUCUCUAUUGAAAGUAAAAAGAUACUCGUAAUUUUGCAUCCUCAUCUCAUUUCAAAGAAUUGCGACUUUAGUAUUUUAAACAAUUGGUUCUGAAUGACAUUUAACUAAAUGCACAGAGACCAAAUAUGUCCCCCAACACUGAAGACCAAGAACACCCCUAUGUGUUCGAUGAGCGGGCUUCAGUGACCAGGCAACACAUCGUCACCUUAACAAAACUGAAAAAACGAAUUAGAGUUGUCAAAGGAGAGACUGGCACUGCUUUCAUUGCCCGGGGAAGCGCUCAGCUUCUGGUCUAGAAGAGGCUGGUCUCAGUGGCUGCACUGCUGUAACAGAACUCACACCUCUGUGCGUAAGAACAAGACUUCUCGGGCUUGCACUCAGCGCUAUGGAAUGUAUGAGCAUAACUGAUGUGCGUCCCGUCUCGUUCAAAUGGUGAUUAGUCAUUAUGCAGACAUAAAAGCAAUGCGACCCCCUUUGCCUCAUCGUGCUUGAAAUGUCUAAUAACUGAGUUUUGUUUGGUAAUUAUUUAUGAAAUUUUGUGACAUGGUUAUGUUGUUUUGACUAAUUAUGUACUAACAAUAGCAGUGAUAGAUAGUUCUAUCCAAGAGGCGAUUGACGCGGGCAGCCUUAUGUUCACUGAUAAUUUUUUAAAAAUUAGCUUUCAAUUCAUAUGCUUAUCCUGUUAAGAGGACAAGUUAUUUCUGUGAUUCAAAAAAGGGCAAAUAAUAAAUAAAUAAAUAAAUAAAUAAAUAUCAAAAGGGAUUAUCGAGGAGGAUCAUUUGAAAUGGAACGGGGAUAGAUGUUGAAGAACAAAAAGCGAUAAACUAUAAUUUCUGACUAUUAGAAAAGGGAUUUGUGCUUUUAAGAAUGGAUGGGGGCUGGUAUUGAAUUCCUAUGGGAUUGUGGUGCUGUCGAUGAAACGUAAAGAUAAUAUCAGUAGUCUAGUACUGAGUAAACGGAUUUCAUCCUUAUGAACUUAGUUUGUAUUUGUGGCUGUGCACAUGUGCACUUGAAUACGUAUGUGGUAGCCACAGAUAGAUGUUAGCCGUCUUUCCCGCUAGCUCUCUGCCUUAAUUCCGGAGACAGAAUCCUUCACUGAACCUGCAGCUCCAGCACGUGGUGAGACAGACUGACCAGUGAGCCUCAGGGCUCCGCCCAUGUCUGCUCUGCCCCGCCAGUGCUGGGAUUACAAAUGUCUGCCGCUACACCUAGGAACGGACAGAAAUGGUGGAACGCAAAUGCUGGUGAAGAAAUGGGGACAUUUGGUGGAGAUGUAAAGCAGUAUAGCUGGUAUGGAAACUCCUCCAAAAUUUAAAAAGUAGAACGUCCAUACAAUACUGGCAAUUCUACCAUGAAGCAUUUACCAUCACCUUCCCAGGCUGCCAACACGUGGAACCAACCUAUACUCAUACGUAGAUGUAUAUAUAAGAAGAAUGUGAUAAAAUACACACACACACACACACACACACACACACACACACACAGAGAGAGAGAGAGAGAGAGAGAGAGAGAGAGAGAGAGAAUAUUAUUCAGCCAUUAAAAAGGAUACUGUCUUUGUCAAUUGAGGCACCAUGACCUGGAAGACUCUGUGUUAAACGAGCUAAGCCCAAAAUGACCAAAACUGCAUAAACUUAUUUUUAGAACUCAGAAAGCUGAUACCACUGAUGUAGGGAGCAGAAUAAAAGUUACUAAAUGCUGGAA